UCCGGUUGAUCCUGCCGGAGGAUACUGCUAUCCGGAUUCGACUAAGCCAUGCGAGCUGAGAGUCUUCGGGACUCGGCAUACUGCUCAGUAAUAUAUAGUUAACCUAACCUAAGGUCAGGAAUAAUUUCGGGAAACUGAAGCUAAUACCUGAUAGACAUUCUGGUCUGGAAUGAUAGAAUAUCUAAAGGUCCGCCGCCUUAGGAUGGGACUAUAACCUAUCAACCUGUUGGGGGUGUAAAGUACUCCCAAAGUUAUAACGGGUACGGGCCAUGAGAGUGGAAGCCCGGAGAUGGAUUCUGAGACAUGAAUCCAGGACCUACGGGUCGCAGCAGGCGCGAAACCUUCACUAUGCAUUAACGUGCGAUGAGGGAAUCUGGAGUGCUUAUGCUUUGCAUAAGCUUUUGUUAAGUUGAAAAAGCUUGGCGAAUAAGGGGUGGGCAAGACAGGUGCCAGCCGCCAUUCUAUAGAGUUAAUAACUCUUGGAACGGUAAGCGGUAAUACCUGCGCCCCUAGUGGUAUCCGGUUUUAGUUGGUCUAAAGCAUCCGUAGCCGGUUUUGUUAGUCCCUAGUGAAAUCUAUUGGGAAACUGGUAGGCUUGCUGGGGAUACUGCAAGGCUUGGGACUGGGAGAGGGUAGAGGUACUGCUGGGGAAGGGGUAAAAUCCUAUAAUCCCAGUGGGACCACCUGUGGCGUAACUUAUUCAAAUUUGUUACAUAGAAGGCGUCUACCUAGAACAGGUCCGACGGUGAGGGAUGAAACCUAGGGGAGCGAUCGGGAUUAGAUACCCCGGUAGUCCUAGGCGUAAACGAUGCCCACUUGGUGUUACAAACCUUACGAGGGUUUGUAAUGCCGGAGCGUAGGUGUUAAGUGGGUCACCUGGGGAGUACGACCGCAAGGUUGAAACUUAAGGGAAAGAGAAGAAGCCCGAAACUACACUUAAAUAUAAUAAGACUCAAUAACAUUCUAUGAACGCAA
This 975-nucleotide ribosomal RNA is filed under the name Candidatus Aenigmarchaeota archaeon CG01_land_8_20_14_3_00_37_9. RNAcentral's name for it is "bacterial SSU rRNA". It matches the Rfam family "Archaeal small subunit ribosomal RNA". RNAcentral also lists the same sequence under 1 other name. The record is from RNAcentral. Lineage: Archaea; Nanobdellati; Candidatus Aenigmatarchaeota.